GCCGGUUUGGCUCAGUGGAUAGAGCAUCAGCCUGCAAACUGAAGAGUCACAGGUUUGAUUCCAGUCAAGGGCA
Non-coding RNA from Myotis brandtii (Brandt's bat), 73 nucleotides. Lineage: Eukaryota; Metazoa; Chordata; Mammalia; Chiroptera; Vespertilionidae. The record is from Rfam.